Ailuropoda melanoleuca (giant panda) is the source of this 107-nucleotide small nuclear RNA. The record is from Ensembl. NCBI's taxonomy places the organism in Eukaryota, Metazoa, Chordata, Mammalia, Carnivora, Ursidae.
GUGCUUACUUCAGCAGCACAUACACUAAAAUUCAAAUGAUACAGACGAGAUUACUAUGGCUCUGGUGCAAGGAUGACAUGUAAAUUUGUGAAAUGUUCCAUAAAAAA